GUCUAUGGCCAUGCCACUGUGAACAUGCCCAAUCUCAUCUGAUCUCGGAAGCUAAGCAUGGUCAGGCCUGGUUAGUACUUGGAUGAGAGACCACCUUGGAAUACCAAGUGCUGUAAGAG
RNAcentral lists this ribosomal RNA (119 nucleotides) under Pteropus alecto (black flying fox). The record is from RNAcentral. Lineage: Eukaryota; Metazoa; Chordata; Mammalia; Chiroptera; Pteropodidae.